RNAcentral lists this long non-coding RNA (289 nucleotides) under Gossypium raimondii (Peruvian cotton). RNAcentral describes it as "long non-coding RNA (GRAI_LNC004390)". Lineage: Eukaryota; Viridiplantae; Streptophyta; Magnoliopsida; Malvales; Malvaceae. The record is from RNAcentral.
AAAACUCUCUUAACAGAUGACAAGUAAAGAUAAAAUCAAAAAAGCAAGGAAUUACAACAAAACUGAAUUUUGGGGGAGAAAGAAGAAAUAAUGAAUUACAGAAAAGUUACAGAGAACUAAAGUGGGAAAAGAAUGUGGAAUGGUUGGGUUUUGAAAUAAAAAUAAAAUAAAAUUUAAAAUAAAUAAAUAAACAUUUUAAAAUUAAAAAAAAGUAAAAAUAAUAAUUCCUAAAAACACACACAAGAGGACUCGAACCUAGAACCCAGAGGUAAACUAACACACAUCCAAC